GGCAUAAUUACUUGUAAAACUCCAGUAUGCUGGAAUGGUUACCUACUUUUGUUUGAAAUUCUGCUUCUGAACGCAUUGCCAGUCCAUUAUGUUUAUUUAAAGGACGUAGGCACAGUAUGUCGUGAUAUUCCUAGUCUCACUUUCUGAACAGCGCAGUAACUACGUUGUUGGAAUCUAGUGGGAUUCCAUUAAAGUCCAAUGGAAUUAUGGUAUAACAGUAGCAGUCUUGUAGCAAUGAGAUUAGAAAUCGUAAAAUCAAACCCGACACAUACCGAAUGUUCAUCAGUUGCACGUGCAAAAUGCGAGUUUUAAUUGAUGUUUGGGAUGGAUUCUAAAGACCUCAGUUCUUAACUACGACUACUUUCAAUCGAAUUGCUUGCGGAUGUUUCCUCCUAAUCAACGGCGUCAUAAAGGCACCAUGUUUUGGUUUAUCUACAGACAUCCAGGACGAAUAGAGUCCGGCACUUGUCGCUUUUGGUAAACCGGAUGUUGGAACUUUUUCCCAUUGAAAUUGAUAUCGGGUUGUUUGUCUCAGCCCUAGCUCCAGCGGUAUACCGAAGGCUGAACAGGACUGCUCCUCCUGAAGAAGCAAGCUCUUCAGGCCAGCAGUUCUGGGAAACUCCAUUCACCAAGUUGAACUCCCUGACCCUUAAGAGAGUGUUGUGGCAGGACAAAGCUGCCUCAUCUCUGGCUUUGGCAAUACCAGGGGCAGGCUGCAGGCUGCAGGCUGCAGGCUGUUAAUGUGUCUGUGAAGGACAGGGAUUCAUGCAACAGGACUUAUGGGGGAGUGAUCAUUGAAAACAUGUGUGCUGGAGACAGGCUGGGGAGCAAAGACUCCUGUUGGGGGGAUUCUGGGGUUCUCUUGUCUGCGGAAACAAGCUUUUAGGAGUGAUCUCAUGGGGAAGAGGCUGUGGGACAAGAGGGUUCCCUGGAGUCUAUACCUUUAUCAAGUACUUGGAUUGGAUAUACAACUGCAUCAAGUUAAAUCACUGUGUGUGAGGAUUUGGAAUGGAACAACCAAGGUCUAUCGCAGAAUCUGAGAGUACACAGAUGUGAUUUACCUUCAUAUCAACCUAUGAUGAUGGCAUGCUAAAGGAAGAGCUGCUUACAGUAUGACUGUGGUAAUCCUCUAACAGAUUGUUCCAGGUAAUGUAAACACAGCUGGUGGUACAAAACGGCAGCCUUUUUUAAGCCAUUGAGACCACUCAGCCUGAGCAACAUCAAAUUGAUUUCAGAUAUGAAAAAACAAAAGUUCAAUGAACCAUAUUAACUGGUUUUCUCUAUAUAAUGUACAAGUUCUAUCAUUGUAUUACAUCUACAGUAAGUUUUAAAAAAAUGCAAUUGAAAGACUCAUACUUAAGGUGCUUUGUAUUCUCCUAGAAUCAAUUUGCAUGUAUGGUUCAGUUUUGCCAUCUUUCAUUGGGGUAGACAGUUGGUAGCAGUGGCUCAGUGCUCCACCUGUGACUGGAGAACUGUGCUAUCUGAGAAAUAAGAGGUGUGUCUCAAAAGUAGAAAGCAUUUUUGUAAAGAAAGUAGGCUGCAGACCAUGGUUAGACUAGAUGAGAAUUUUUUUGUUUAAAGUUUUCUUAUGUUUGCAUAAUCUUACAGUAUGUUUAAAUGAACAAAACAAUUUUUUCUUUACAAAAUAUAAUUUAUUUAAAUCUAAGACUUCUGACCAUCUUUGACAUCCACUCUGUUCUAGUCAUCUGAGAAAAUGCUAGUGGCUCUCUGUUAAUUCAC
Non-coding RNA from Lepisosteus oculatus (spotted gar), 1740 nucleotides. The record is from RefSeq and is a predicted model, not a curated record. NCBI's taxonomy places the organism in Eukaryota, Metazoa, Chordata, Actinopteri, Semionotiformes, Lepisosteidae.